This 80-nucleotide non-coding RNA is filed under the name Sphingomonas sp. RNAcentral describes it as "c-di-GMP sequence". It matches the Rfam family "c-di-GMP-I riboswitch aptamer". From Rfam's summary of the family: GEMM was predicted in a large-scale screen for bacterial structured RNA regulatory elements. Genes associated with GEMM are involved in a diverse array of functions, including chemotaxis regulation, signal transduction, secretion and chitin. RNAcentral also lists the same sequence under 1 other name. Lineage: Bacteria; Pseudomonadati; Pseudomonadota; Alphaproteobacteria; Sphingomonadales; Sphingomonadaceae. The record is from RNAcentral.
CGCCAGCGAGGGCAAACCGCCGGUGACGGCGGGACGCAAAGCCUCCGGCCUUGAGCGUUCAAGGUAGCGGGGUUGCAACA